GACGAACGCUGGCGGCGUGCCUAAUACAUGCAAGUUGAGCGCUGAAGGUUGGUACUUGUACCAACUGGAUGAGCAGCGAACGGGUGAGUAACGCGUGGGGAAUCUGCCUUUGAGCAGGGGACAACAUUUGGAAACGAAUGCUAAUACCGCAUAAAAACUUUAAACACAAGUUUUAAGUUUGAAAGAUGCAAUUGCAUCACUCAAAGAUGAUCCCGCGUUGUAUUAGCUAGUUGGUGAGGUAAAGGCUCACCAAGGCGAUGAUACAUAGCCGACCUGAGAGGGGGGUCGGCCACAUUGGGACUGAGAACCGGCCCAAACUCCUACGGGAGGCAGCAGUAGGGAAUCUUCGGCAAUGGACGAAAGUCUGAACGAGCAACGCCGCGUGAGUGAAGAAGGUUUUCGGAUCGUAAAACUCUGUUGGUAGAGAAGAACGUUGGUGAGAGUGGAAAGCUCACCAAGUGACGGUAACUACCCAGAAAGGGACGGCUAACUACGUG
RNAcentral lists this ribosomal RNA (497 nucleotides) under uncultured bacterium. Its description in RNAcentral is "partial 16S ribosomal RNA". It matches the Rfam family "Bacterial small subunit ribosomal RNA", at positions 28 to 507 of the family's 1533-position model. The record is from RNAcentral.